This 253-nucleotide ribosomal RNA is filed under the name uncultured bacterium. RNAcentral's name for it is "partial 16S ribosomal RNA". It matches the Rfam family "Bacterial small subunit ribosomal RNA", at positions 524 to 776 of the family's 1533-position model. The record is from RNAcentral.
UACGUAGGGCGCAAGCGUUGUUCGGAAUUAUUGGGCGUAAGGAGCUCGUAGGCGGCUUGUCACGUCGGGUGUGAAAGCCCGGGGCUUAACCCCGGGUCUGCAUUCGAUACGGGCAGGCUAGAGUGUGGUAGGGGAGAUCGGAAUUCCUGGUGUAGCGGUGAAAUGCGCAGAUAUCAGGAGGAACACCGGUGGCGAAGGCGGAUCUCUGGGCCAUUACUGACGCUGAGGAGCGAAAGCCAGGGGAGCAAACGGG